Molecule: long non-coding RNA, 104 nt
Organism: Lontra canadensis (Northern American river otter)
Lineage: Eukaryota; Metazoa; Chordata; Mammalia; Carnivora; Mustelidae
Exons: 3
Source: RefSeq, a predicted model, not a curated record
UAAGAAAAAUACCUACCCAGAGGAACUAAGUUCAAAUGGUCAAGAUUCAGUUGUUUUAUCAAAUGCACCAGUGCUGAGAUUUGCCAGCUAUCUAAUGCCAAAAA